AUUGAACGCUGGCGGCAUGCCUUACACAUGCAAGUCGAACGGUAACGGGCCUUCGGGUGCCGACGAGUGGCGAACGGGUGAGUAAUACAUCGGAACGUGCCCGAUCGUGGGGGAUAACGAGGCGAAAGCUUUGCUAAUACCUCAUACGAUCUACGUAUGAAAGCAGGGGACCGCAAGGCCUUGCGCGGACGGAGCGGCCGAUGGCAGAUUAGGUAGUUGGUGGGAUAAAAGCUUACCAAGCCGACGAUCUGUAGCUGGUCUGAGAGGAUGAUCAGCCACACUGGGACUGAGACACGGCCCAGACUCCUACGGGAGGCAGCAGUGGGGAAUUUUGGACAAUGGGCGCAAGCCUGAUCCAGCCAUGCCGCGUGCAGGAUGAAGGCCUUCGGGUUGUAAACUGCUUUUGUACGGAACGAAAAGCCUUCUUUUAAUACAGGAGGGUCAUGACGGUACCGUAAGAAUAAGCACCGGCUAACUACGUG
Molecule: ribosomal RNA, 482 nt
Filed under: uncultured bacterium
Lineage: Bacteria
Description: partial 16S ribosomal RNA
Rfam family: Bacterial small subunit ribosomal RNA
Source: RNAcentral